This 255-nucleotide ribosomal RNA is filed under the name uncultured bacterium. Its description in RNAcentral is "partial 16S ribosomal RNA". It matches the Rfam family "Bacterial small subunit ribosomal RNA", at positions 524 to 776 of the family's 1533-position model. The record is from RNAcentral.
UACGUAGGGUGCGAGCGUUGUCCGGAAUUAUUGGGCGUAAAGAGCUCGUAGGCGGUGUGUCACGUCGGCCGUGAAAACCUGCAGCUUAACUGUGGGCUUGCGGUCGAUACGGGCAUCACUGGAGUUCGGCAGGGGAGACUGGAAUUCCUGGUGUAGCGGUGAAAUGCGCAGAUAUCAGGAGGAACACCGGUGGCGAAGGCGGGUCUCUGGGCCGAUGACUGACGCUGAGGAGCGAAAGCGUGGGGAGCGAACGGG